CCAACGUGGAUACCCCGGGAGGUCACUCCCCGGGCUCUGUCCUGGUGGCGUAGGGGAGCAUAGGGCUCUGCCCCAUGAUGUACAGUCCCUUUCCACAACGUUGGAGAUGAAGCUGGGCCUCGUCCGCGCCUGCAUAUUCCUACAGCUUCUCAGAGUCCUGUGGACAAUGACUGAGGAGACAAACCAUGCAGUGAGACAUCU
This is a small nucleolar RNA of Balaenoptera musculus (blue whale), 201 nucleotides long. Its record names the gene SNORA73. It matches the Rfam family "Small nucleolar RNA SNORA73 family". From Rfam's summary of the family: U17 (SNORA73A and SNORA73B) also known as E1 belongs to the H/ACA class of small nucleolar RNAs (snoRNAs). Vertebrate U17 is intron-encoded and ranges in length from 200-230 nucleotides, longer than most snoRNAs. The record is from Ensembl. Lineage: Eukaryota; Metazoa; Chordata; Mammalia; Artiodactyla; Balaenopteridae.